This 885-nucleotide ribosomal RNA is filed under the name Isoptericola chiayiensis. Its description in RNAcentral is "bacterial SSU rRNA". It matches the Rfam family "Bacterial small subunit ribosomal RNA", at positions 108 to 1002 of the family's 1533-position model. The record is from RNAcentral. Lineage: Bacteria; Bacillati; Actinomycetota; Actinomycetes; Micrococcales; Promicromonosporaceae.
GAGUAACACGUGAGCAACCUGCCCUCCACUUCGGGAUAAGCCUUGGAAACGGGGUCUAAUACCGGAUAUGAGCGCGCACCGCAUGGUGUGUGUUGGAAAGUUUUUCGGUGGGGGAUGGGCUCGCGGCCUAUCAGCUUGUUGGUGGGGUGAUGGCCUACCAAGGCGUCGACGGGUAGCCGGCCUGAGAGGGCGACCGGCCACACUGGGACUGAGACACGGCCCAGACUCCUACGGGAGGCAGCAGUGGGGAAUAUUGCACAAUGGGCGAAAGCCUGAUGCAGCGACGCCGCGUGAGGGAUGACGGCCUUCGGGUUGUAAACCUCUUUCAGCAGGGAAGAAGGCCUUCGGGUGGACGGUACCUGCAGAAGAAGCGCCGGCUAACUACGUGCCAGCAGCCGCGGUAAUACGUAGGGCGCAAGCGUUGUCCGGAAUUAUUGGGCGUAAAGAGCUCGUAGGCGGUCUGUCGCGUCUGGUGUGAAAACCUCAGGCUCAACCUGGGGCGUGCAUCGGGUACGGGCAGACUAGAGUGCGGUAGGGGAGACUGGAAUUCCUGGUGUAGCGGUGGAAUGCGCAGAUAUCAGGAGGAACACCGAUGGCGAAGGCAGGUCUCUGGGCCGCAACUGACGCUGAGGAGCGAAAGCAUGGGGAGCGAACAGGAUUAGAUACCCUGGUAGUCCAUGCCGUAAACGUUGGGCACUAGGUGUGGGGCUCAUUCCACGAGUUCCGUGCCGCAGCUAACGCAUUAAGUGCCCCGCCUGGGGAGUACGGCCGCAAGGCUAAAACUCAAAGGAAUUGACGGGGGCCCGCACAAGCGGCGGAGCAUGCGGAUUAAUUCGAUGCAACGCGAAGAACCUUACCAAGGCUUGACAUGCACCGGACGCUGCC